GAUCAACGCUGGCGGCGUGCCUAACACAUGCAAGUCGCGCGCGAAAGGGGGGCAACCCCCGAGUAAAGCGGCGAACGGGUGAGUAACACGUGGGUAAUCUACCUUCGAGUGGGGAACAACAUCGGGAAACUGGUGCUAAUUCCGCAUGACAUCGUCGGGGCUUCGGUUCCGACGCUCAAAGCUGGGGAUCGUAAGACCUAGCGCUUGAAGAUGAGCCCGCGUCCGAUUAGCUAGUGGCGGGGUAAUAGCCCACCAAGGCUCCGAUCGGUAGCCGGCCUGAGAGGGCGGACGGCCACACUGGAACUGAGACACGGUCCAGACUCCUACGGGAGGCAGCA
RNAcentral lists this ribosomal RNA (338 nucleotides) under uncultured bacterium. Its description in RNAcentral is "bacterial SSU rRNA". It matches the Rfam family "Bacterial small subunit ribosomal RNA", at positions 28 to 353 of the family's 1533-position model. The record is from RNAcentral.